RNAcentral lists this microRNA precursor (103 nucleotides) under Marmota monax (woodchuck). Lineage: Eukaryota; Metazoa; Chordata; Mammalia; Rodentia; Sciuridae. The record is from RNAcentral.
AAUGGGAUAGCUGGGUCAAAUGGUGGUUCCAUUCCAAGUUUUCUGAGGAAUCUCCAUACUGCUUUCCAUAGUAGUUGCACCAAUUUGCAGUCCCACCAGCAGU